This 469-nucleotide ribosomal RNA is filed under the name uncultured bacterium. RNAcentral describes it as "bacterial SSU rRNA". It matches the Rfam family "Bacterial small subunit ribosomal RNA", at positions 29 to 507 of the family's 1533-position model. The record is from RNAcentral.
AGUGAACGCUGGCGGCGUGCUUAACACAUGCAAGUCGAACGAGAACGGGUUAUAGCUUGCUAUAAUUGUCAGCUAAGUGGCGCACGGGUGAGUAAUGUAUAGGUAAUAUGCCUCUUACUAAGGGAUAACAAAUGGAAACGUUUGCUAAUACCUUAUAUUCCUUAUAAACAGAAGUUUGUAAGGGAAAGAUUUAUCGGUAAGAGAUUGGCCUGUAUUGUAUCAGUUAGUUGGUGGGGUAAUGGCCUACCAAGACAAUGACGCAUAACUGGUUUGAGAGGAUGAUCAGUCACACUGGAACUGAGACACGGUCCAGACUCCUACGGGAGGCAGCAGUGGGGAAUAUUGCACAAUGGACGAAAGUCUGAUGCAGCAACGCCGCGUGGAGGAUGACACAUUUCGGUGCGUAAACUCCUUUUAUAUGAGAAGAUAAUGACGGUAUUAUAUGAAUAAGCACCGGCUAACUACCGUG